CCUACGGGAGGCAGCAGUGGGGAAUAUUGGACAAUGGGGGAAACCCUGAUCCAGCGACGCCGCGUGUGUGAAGAAGGCCUGCGGGUUGUAAAGCACUUUUAGUGGGGAUGAAAAGCUCAGGGCUAACACCUCUGG
Molecule: ribosomal RNA, 135 nt
Filed under: uncultured bacterium
Lineage: Bacteria
Description: partial 16S ribosomal RNA
Rfam family: Bacterial small subunit ribosomal RNA
Source: RNAcentral